UAACAAUAACAAGGCCAAAGACCAGAUGGUGGAAGUGCUCAACCAUUUCAACGUGCAGGUCAGACAGUCGGACAUCUUCAGCAGAUGCCAGAUCUGCAAUGGAAAUGUGUAUGUUACCAUUCCAUCUGAGGAUAUGAAACUGCUGUCUCAAAGGAAGCUGCAAGAUCAUCACCCACUCGGAGGCAUUGCACAGUUCAUCUGAACUAGGGCUGAAUGGUGGCCCAGAAAGCUCCUAAACAUAUGGAGUGGGUAGCCAGUCUAAUGAUUGCUCUGAGGAGAUGGUGUCCAUGUUCAUUGAGUACAACAUAGACUGGUGCACUGCCACCAUCCUGUCAAACUCUGCCUCAGUUCAAACAGAAACUGUGCCUACCAGUAUGUUUGACAAAGUGGAAAAGUUUUUCUGUUGUCAGCAGUGUGGAAAGGUGUUCUGGAAAGGAUCCCACUUUGAACGAGUUUGUGAACAGUUUUCACAUGUUCUUAAGACGGAAAAAGAUGAUACGACAAUUUAUGAUAAAUUGAAUGCAAACGUGGGAGUUAAUUCUUUGUAUAAACACUUUGUGUUCCAAAGCCAGUUGAAUUGAAGACACUAAUUAGUACAAAUGUCUAGUUUUUUAAUGAGUGCUACUUGUAAAUAUCACAUUACUUAACAUCUUGUAAUUACACAAGUAAUGGACUUGCUUAAUGAAAUUCAGGGAAUUUAUGUAUGCAUCAAAUAUUUGUGCAAGUUUACAACAGCUAUUUUCUUCAUAAAACGUGUACAUUAUUCAUGAAUCGAUGUAAAUUUUAAAAUUGUUAUGUCUUGUUUUCAUGGUGUUUGAUUGACCACACCAAUACAAGCUAUACUGGUUGUCAAGUUCAAAAUGUGUAACAUACGUGUAUUAUUUUGAAAUCUAUGAUAUUUGUCUGUGUUUUUUGUUUUUAAAGAUCAAUAGUGCUCUCAUCAUUUCACGCCUUCAAUAAUGUUUUAUUUUCUCUGUGGUUUUAGUUGCAUAAACGAGGUUUCUUAACGGAAUAAGUUUUAAGUUUGAUUCUUAAGGUCAUAUAAUUUUAUAAAUAAAAUGUACAAUGA
Long non-coding RNA from Dreissena polymorpha, 1069 nucleotides. RefSeq lists it as uncharacterized. The transcript has 3 exons. The record is from RefSeq and is a predicted model, not a curated record. Lineage: Eukaryota; Metazoa; Mollusca; Bivalvia; Myida; Dreissenidae.